GUCGCGGCCAACUCUUCCGAAUCGGCGAACGCCACGUGGCCAGCGCGUAGUAUGCAGCGCGUUCCGCAUAUAAAAGCCGGUGAGGGAUAACUCCGUUACCCCUUUCUUCGUCUUCGCGGUUCACACCACCGACACCGCUGCAUUUGGGUACUGCGAGAUGCAAUUUUUUAUCCAUUUACUGAAACGACCACACCUAUGGCGCUGCAUUUGUGGCCGUCGCGGAAUAUACGGAACGUUAAAAAAGCAGAAGGCAUCAGGAUAAAUAAAGGAAUUCUCUGAAUUCACCAAACUUAUGAACUUGAGAAGAGAGAGUAUCGAAACAACAGAGCUGCUCUGUUUGAUAGCAUUGAGGAGGGUGGCAUUCAGGCCUCAUCUUAAUCGUCUCAUGAAAUUGCUGAGUAUGACUAAGAUAAAUAUAUUGAUGGGUUGCAAGAUAGAGUGAAUUUUUAAAAAAGAGUAGGUCAUUUACAAUAUUUUAUUUGAUUUUUUGGUAAAUAUUUCCUGACUCAUUAUAUUUUAUCAAGUCCUACUCAAAUUUCUCUUGAUAUAACUGUUGGACCUGUUGUUUAUCUUGUAAAUAUAUUUCAUAGAUAUUGUGAUUGAUAUUAGAACAAAUAUCUUUCUUAAGAUUGGAAGCUUCUUGAUGGACCUGUGCUUUUUUUGGUUUUGUGAUGUGUUUUAGCUCUUACUUCUUCACUGCCACUAGUGACGGUUCUUUUUUUGUUGGGUGAGGACCGGUGACAGUUAUUUUAGUUGAUGCAUGGGUUUAAACUUGACACCCCAGCUUCAGUCAUAUUUUUAUGAUCUACCUGGUCAUGUUCUUCCAGAUUAUUAGAAUUUUGUUUUUGAUGAUGAAUGUGUAAAAUAUUCUUCUUUAGAGCUGUUCCAUAUGGACUGGUAAGAGAUACUCUGUUGUUUCUUUGUCCAGAGAUAUCUAUUUAAUGCUAUAAUGUUUGAUCUUCAGAACUCUGAGCCCUGCUAAGGAGUCAUGCUUCAUAUUACCCAGUUGAAGACCUUAAUAUUGGUGGCAUAUCUUUGGUCAAUAUGCAAAUGUUACACUCUAUGAUUAGAUCUUGUUUUUUUUCAAGAUCACCCAAAAUAUUUUCCCCUUCUCAUUAUUUCUAAAAUUGUCACAAAUUUACUUAAAAAGUUUUAUUUAGCAAUCUAAAGAGAAAAUAUCUUCUAAUUUUCCAGUUUGUGUAUCCUUUUCUUAUUUUCAUUUAAUUGUUCUUGUGCCCAUCUCUUUUAUUUGAGUUUGGCAAUUCAAUUAGUUUUUCAUCUUCUGAUACAUCAGCAGUUUAACAGAGAAAUUAUGCCUUUGUCAUUUAUUUUUAUUGCAACAAUCAUCUCAAUCAUUUCCUUUUUUUUGUGGCACAGUUGAUGCCUAUUUAUCUAUCUUAACAUGCAGCGACAAGGAAUUUAAUUAUCUUAGAAAACUUGGCUAUUUGUUGCUAUUACAUUUUAGUUAUUAUGAUCAUCUUGGUGUGAAGUUGAUGGGAAAUACAUGAAGAAGUCGAGAUCCAUAAUCAUGCCUUGGACCAAAUGGUAUGUGCAGGGCACAUGGGGGCUUCUCACUCUCUUGUUCUUUCUCUAGCAAAGUAUCCAAUUGUGAUUUCUUGGUGUUGGUUUUAGGGUCAUGACAUGGAUACUUCCAGUGGAGUCCUUUCUGGAACAGUUGAUCGAUUCAAGAUGGUAAAUACACUUCACAUCUGUUCAUUGGGUUUCUACUUCUGUUUUUGACCAAAAUUAAAGUUUCUUCCUUCGGUUUUUGAGGAAAAGUUGAAUUGCAGAAUGGCUACACUUGUGAUCUCUUUCCUGGUGCUCUUCUUACUCAUGUAUUACCUAACCAAGUAGAAAUUUUCAGCUUUAUAGUACACAAGCAGAUUGUUGGUCCUUUUAAAGUGAUUUAUUGCGACUGUAUCCCCCACGCGUGAUAUCCUUUUGCGUACUAUUACUGUAUAUGUGAAAUUGACACCUUAGAUGUUGAAUCUUGUGAGGUUGAAGACUAAGAAUGAGUCCUAUCAUUUUCAGGUCUUUUAUCUUGUAGUCCUAUCAUUUUCCUGUUGAACGUUUUAGAAUCUUAAUAAAGAUGAUGAAUUACUUGAA
This is a long non-coding RNA of Musa acuminata AAA Group (dessert banana), 2106 nucleotides long. RefSeq lists it as uncharacterized. Lineage: Eukaryota; Viridiplantae; Streptophyta; Magnoliopsida; Zingiberales; Musaceae. The record is from RefSeq and is a predicted model, not a curated record. The transcript is spliced from 3 exons.